AGUGCGAGCUGAAUCCAACCCUGCCGCGUGUGUGAGAAGGCUUUCGGGUUGUAAAGCACUUUCAGCGAGGAAGAAGGCCUCUGGGUUAAUACCCCAGAGGAAGGACAUCACUCGCAGAAGAAGCACCGGCUAACUCCGUGCCAGCAGCCGCGGUAAUACGGAGGGUGCGAGCGUUAAUCGGAAUUACUGGGCGUAAAGCGCGCGUAGGUGGCUUGGCACGCCGGUUGUGAAAGCCCCGGGCUCAACCUGGGAACGGCAUCCGGAACGGCCAGGCUAGAGUGCAGGAGAGGAAGGUAGAAUUCCCGGUGUAGCGGUGAAAUGCGUAGAGAUCGGGAGGAAUACCAGUGGCGAAGGCGGCCUUCUGGCCUGACACUGACACUGAGGUGCGAAAGCGUGGGUAGCAAACAGGAUUAGAUACCCUGGUAGUCCACGCCGUAAACGAUGUCGACUAGCCGUUGGGACCUUUAAGGACUUAGUGGCGCAGUUAACGCGAUAAGUCGACCGCCUGGGGAGUACGGCCGCAAGGUUAAAACUCAAAUGAAUUGACGGGGGCCCGCACAAGCGGUGGAGCAUGUGGUUUAAUUCGAUGCAACGCGAAGAACCUUACCUACCCUUGACAUCCAGAGAACUUUCCAGAGAUGGAUUGGUGCCUUCGGAACUCUAGACAGUCU
This 671-nucleotide ribosomal RNA is filed under the name Halomonas sp. RNAcentral's name for it is "bacterial SSU rRNA". It matches the Rfam family "Bacterial small subunit ribosomal RNA", at positions 374 to 1040 of the family's 1533-position model. Lineage: Bacteria; Pseudomonadati; Pseudomonadota; Gammaproteobacteria; Oceanospirillales; Halomonadaceae. The record is from RNAcentral.